GAGGAAUAUUGGUCAAUGGGCGCGAGCCUGAACCAGCCAAGUAGCGUGCAGGAUGACGGCCCUAUGGGUUGUAAACUGCUUUUGUAUGGGGAUAAAGUCAAUCACGUGUGAUUGUUUGCAGGUACCAUACGAAUAAGGACCGGCUAAUUCCGUGCCAGCAGCCGCGGUAAUACGGAAGGUCCGGGCGUUAUCCGGAUUUAUUGGGUUUAAAGGGAGCGUAGGCUGGAGAUUAAGUGUGUUGUGAAAUGUAGACGCUCAACGUCUGACUUGCAGCGCAUACUGGUUUCCUUGAGUACGCACAACGUUGGCGGAAUUCGUCGUGUAGCGGUGAAAUGCUUAGAUAUGACGAAGAACUCCGAUUGCGAAGGCAGCUGACGGGAGCGCAACUGACGCUGAAGCUCGAAGGUGCGGGUAUCGAACAGGAUUAGAUACCCUGGUAGUCCGCACAGUAAACGAUGGAUGCCCGCUGUUGGUACGUGGUAUCAGCGGCUAAGCGAAAGCAUUAAGCAUCCCACCUGGGGAGUACGCCGGCAACGGUG
Molecule: ribosomal RNA, 539 nt
Filed under: uncultured bacterium
Lineage: Bacteria
Description: bacterial SSU rRNA
Rfam family: Bacterial small subunit ribosomal RNA
Source: RNAcentral